AUGCUUGGAAGCAUCGACUGCAUGCAUUGGACAUGGAAAAAACGUCCAUUUGCUUGGCAAGGGAUGCACAAAGGCGCCAAAGGAGGUUGCAAUGUGGUACUUGAGGCAGUGGCCACACAGGACCUUUGGAUUUGGCACUCCUUUGGUAUGCCAGGAACUCACAAUGACAUCAACGUACUGGAGUGCUCAAAUGUCUUUGCCAAGCUUGUUGAAGGUCAUGCUCCUGCGGUGAACUUCGAGGUCAAUGGGCGCCACUACAACAAGGGAUACUACCUAGCAUAUGGCAUCUAUCCAAGAUGGUCCACAUUUGUGAAGACUAUCGCAAACCUGUGCCAGGAGCCAAGAACACCUACUUUGCCAAGUGUCAGGAGGCUUGCAGGAAGGAUGUCGAGCGGGCAUUUGGUGUGCUCCAAUCUUGAUUUGCUCUUGUCCGGUACCCCGCUUAGACCUGGUCGAAAGAUCACAUGUGGGAGGUCAUGA
This 480-nucleotide ribosomal RNA is filed under the name Triticum aestivum (bread wheat). Its description in RNAcentral is "partial small subunit ribosomal RNA". Lineage: Eukaryota; Viridiplantae; Streptophyta; Magnoliopsida; Poales; Poaceae. The record is from RNAcentral.